CCUUGCAAUUUUCACAUUAGUAUUUGCAUCGUUGAAUCUUUGAUGCAUUAACAUGUCGAGUUGCUGGAUUAGAUUAGAUCGUUUUUCAGAUUUUUCUACUAGAUCGAACUUGUUUUUGGUUUUCUUGUUUUUUGUGUGACACAGGUUUCCUCUUUAAUUCUUCCGCCGCCAAUCUCCCUGCCACACCACCACCACAUCAUCAAUCCGUUGUUGCCACCAUCAUAUCCGCCUUCGUCAAUUUCGUUUCGAAUCCCAAUUUAUUUCGCCACCGAUUUCCAAUUUGGGUCCAAUUGAGAGUGCUUUUGGAAAGUGUUUCAGAAUAAGGAAGGAGAUCGAAUUUUGUUUAGAGAUCAAGUUGUGAAAAAAAAGAGAAGAAAGAAAAAAAAAGAAAAAAAAGAAAGAGAGAGAGAGAGAGAAAGAAUCAAUUUCGGAUCCAACCUCGAGGAGAAUUUUAGUUCCGAGUGGGUUUGACCCGUGUUCAGUAAAACGGGCAUAUCAUUUGCAUACCAACUCGGAUUUGGACGUUCUUAGAAUUUUUGGAAAGCUCUCGACGAGGCGUAUCAGGAAAUAUCCAGGGCAUUUCCCUGCACUUUGAACC
Molecule: long non-coding RNA, 598 nt
Filed under: Brachypodium distachyon (stiff brome)
Lineage: Eukaryota; Viridiplantae; Streptophyta; Magnoliopsida; Poales; Poaceae
Description: long non-coding RNA (BDIS_LNC002390)
Source: RNAcentral